RNAcentral lists this ribosomal RNA (303 nucleotides) under uncultured bacterium. Its description in RNAcentral is "partial 16S ribosomal RNA". It matches the Rfam family "Bacterial small subunit ribosomal RNA", at positions 510 to 808 of the family's 1533-position model. The record is from RNAcentral.
AGCAGCGCCACGGUAAUACGAAGGGUGCAAGCGUUACUCGGAAUUACUGGGCGUAAAGCGUGCGUAGGUGGUGGUUUAAGUCCGUUGUGAAAGCCCUGGGCUCAACCUGGGAAUUGCAGUGGAUACUGGGUCACUAGAGUGUGGUAGAGGAUAGUGGAAUUUCCGGUGUAGCAGUGAAAUGCGUAGAGAUCGGAAGGAACAUCUGUGGCGAAGGCGACUAUCUGGGCCAACACUGACACUGAGGCACGAAAGCGUGGGGAGCAAACAGGAUUAGAUACCCCAGUAGUCCCUGUCUCUUAUACA